RNAcentral lists this long non-coding RNA (148 nucleotides) under Pogona vitticeps (central bearded dragon). RNAcentral describes it as "Embryonic ventral forebrain-2 long ncRNA (ENSPVIG00000013412.1)". It matches the Rfam family "Embryonic ventral forebrain-2 long ncRNA". The record is from RNAcentral. Lineage: Eukaryota; Metazoa; Chordata; Lepidosauria; Squamata; Agamidae.
AAUUUCACACCUGGAUAUGCUCAGUCAACCAAGAAUAUAGAGAAAGAGCUUCUGCCCUGAGACGCAGAAAAAAACAUUCUCUGCUCUGCUUCUCUUCACUCUAGAUUUCUUUAGACCCUCAUCUCUGCUUAACAGAUUUGCACGGGGG